UACCCCUAGCAAAUCUCAAAAAACCGUCCCAGUUCAGAUUGUACUCUGCAACUCGAGUACAUGAAGGUGGAAUCGCUAGUAAUCGCAGAACAGCAGGCUGCGGUGAAUACGUUCCCGGGCCUUGUACACACCGCCCGUCACGGCAUGGGAGUUGGUUCUACCUUAAGACGGUGCGCUAACCCGCAAGGGAGGCAGCCGACCACGGUAGGGUCAGCGACUGGGGUGAAG
This 228-nucleotide ribosomal RNA is filed under the name uncultured Nitrobacter sp. RNAcentral describes it as "partial 16S ribosomal RNA". It matches the Rfam family "Bacterial small subunit ribosomal RNA", at positions 1259 to 1485 of the family's 1533-position model. The record is from RNAcentral. Lineage: Bacteria; Pseudomonadati; Pseudomonadota; Alphaproteobacteria; Hyphomicrobiales; Nitrobacteraceae.